This 81-nucleotide ribosomal RNA is filed under the name Streptomyces pilosus. RNAcentral's name for it is "partial 16S ribosomal RNA". It matches the Rfam family "Bacterial small subunit ribosomal RNA", at positions 1453 to 1533 of the family's 1533-position model. RNAcentral also lists the same sequence under 1 other name. The record is from RNAcentral. Lineage: Bacteria; Bacillati; Actinomycetota; Actinomycetes; Kitasatosporales; Streptomycetaceae.
CUGUCGAAGGUGGGACUGGCGAUUGGGACGAAGUCGUAACAAGGUAGCCGUACCGGAAGGUGCGGCUGGAUCACCUCCUUU